RNAcentral lists this long non-coding RNA (20977 nucleotides) under Coffea arabica (coffee). RNAcentral describes it as "long non-coding RNA (CARA_LNC006727)". Lineage: Eukaryota; Viridiplantae; Streptophyta; Magnoliopsida; Gentianales; Rubiaceae. The record is from RNAcentral.
AACCCCAUCCAUCAUUCAAUCCCAAGUAAACCAGCAAGAAAUCCGCAACUAUCUAUGGAAACCUUGUAUCUCUACCUUCCACUUUUCCUAGCAUUAUACAUCUUCACCAAGCACUUCCUCAACAAAAUCCGAAACCUUCCACCUAGUCCCAUCCUUAAUCUCCCCGUCCUCGGCCACCUCCUCCUCAUCAAGAAGCCUCUUCACCGAGGCCUAGCCAAGAUUUCCGACCGUCAUGGCCCGGUCCUCCUCCUGGAAUUCGGCUCACGCCCAGUCCUCCUUGUCUCCUCCGCUUCUGCAGCCGAAGAAUGCCUCAACAAGCACGACAUCGUUUUCGCCAACCGCCCGCGUCUGCUGGCUGGAAAACAUCUGGGAUACAAUUAUACCUCAAUGGCAUGGACGUCCUACGGGGAUCACUGGAGAAAUCUACGGCGGAUAGCUUCACUGGAGAUCUUGUCUUCCCACAGGCUUCAAACGCUUCACGGGAUACGUGUUGAUGAAGUAAAAUUGAUGCUGAAAAGGCUGUUUUCAGCUUCAGAAAACAAGAAAAGCGUGGAUAUGAGGGCCCUUUUCUUUGAGCUGAUGUUGAACGUGAUGAUGAGGAUGAUUGCUGGGAAGAGGUAUUAUGGGGAGAAUGUUGGGGAAGUUGAGGAGGCUAGGAGGUUUAGGGAGAUUGUAGAGGAGACGAUGAUAAUUGGUGGAGCUUCGAAUAUGGGAGAUUUCUGGCCGGUUUUGAGGUGGUUAAAAGUGGGAAAGAAGGAGAAGGCCUUGAGGGUUUUGCAGGAGAAUAGGGAUCAAUUCGUGCAGGAGUUGAUCAAGGGGUUUAGGAGUGCAAAAGAUGCAGAAAAUGGUGGCGGCGAUGCAGAGGAAACAGGGGAAAAGAAGAAAACGUUGAUUGAAGUUUUGUUGACCCUGCAACAGAAGGAGCCUGAGUAUUACAAGGAUGAAAUCAUUAGAAGCCUUAUGCUGGUAUGGUUACUCUGAUAAAUUUCUUUCUGGCUCUUCUUCUUCUUAUUAAUGUAGCUAAUUUGUUAUCAUUUCUAUGUUCCCUAGAAAAUGUCAAACUUCGAUUAAGGACAAAUUAAUAGAAAUUGAAAGUAAUUCGAAGAUUAAGUGACUAAAUCUAGAUGGCCAAAAUUUGCUUUCUUUGAGUAUAAAAUAUAAGCUUACUUCAGUUGUCGUACAGUAAUUCGAUUGCUUCCAUUAUUGUGCAAAGUUAUGAUGAAUAAGAAAAAUUCACUGGUACAGUUCAAGAAUAGAGUUGACCGCACGGUGUGAACAGGAGUAGAUCCCAACGUAUUGGGCGGGGGGCCCACUUUUCUUCGGUGUUGGCAUUUGACAGUGAAGCAGAAAGAAAGUAUGAUGUCUAGCCAACCGAUGUCUAAAGUUGGUUGACUAGAUUUUAGAAGCAAAUGUCACUGAUCAUGCUCUUCAUUCUACCGUUUACCACUUUCUUCUUCUUUUCUCAAGUGCAUUUCACCAUUGACCGCUUUCGUAUUGCAGGUUUUACUAGCAGCAGGUACCGAUACAUCAGUGGGAACAAUGGAGUGGGCAUUGUCACUAAUGCUAAACAAUCCAUCAACUUUGGAGAAGGCAAAAGCAGAAAUUGACAGAAUCAUAGGAAAAGAACGUUUAUUAGAUGAAUCAGAUGUGGCUAAUCUACCCUAUCUCCGGUGCAUAAUUAGUGAAACAUUGAGGAUGUUUCCAGCAGGGCCUAUAAUGCUACCCCACGAAUCCUCCGAGGAAUGUGUGGUUGGGGGUUACCGUGUGCCUGGGGGGACAAUGUUGAUUGUCAAUUUGUGGGCUAUCCAAAAUGAUUCCAAGAAUUGGGAGGAUCCAAGAAAAUUCAAGCCUGAAAGAUUUGAAGGGCUUGAAGGGACCAGAGAUGGCUACAAAUUAAUGCCAUUUGGUUCUGGUAGAAGAGGUUGUCCUGGGGAGGGAUUGGCCAUGCGCAUGGUUGGAUUUGCUUUGGGAUCAAUUAUUCAGUGCUUUGAUUGGAGCAGAAUCAGUGAGGAGAUGGUAGAUUUGGCUGAGGGGCCUGGACUGACUCUGCCUAAGGCUCAACACUUAGUCGCCAAUUGUCGAGCACGACCUGGAAUCAUGAGCCUUCUUUCUCAAAUUUAGACUGCGACGAGGAUGUAUCUUGACUCUUGAGAAAGGGUGGGCAGUAUUUGCCUCGUCUCUUCUUCUUGUUUGAAGAAAAAAUAUGUACUAGUAAAAAAAAAAAAGUCUUGUUUUAUAUAUUUCACUUGUUUCUUUAAGGGAAAAAAUGACGGAGUAAUUUACUUUAUAGUAGUUGCUAUUUGAUGACGCUAAUUUUUGAAUUUCCUUGUUUUAAGUUGGAAUUUUCACAGCACAAUAAUUAUACCUUGCAACUCCUAACUGAAAACAACUCAAACCAUAUAUUUAUUCAUUCUCCUAAUGUCCACACUAAGCAAUAUCUUAGUUGGCAACUUCUUGAUCCGAAAGUUUUCUUUAGUGUUGAUAAUCAAUGAGAGAUAAAAAAAAAUGAGUAUCUAAAAAUAUAAAGGUCUAUCUAUUUGGACAACCGUUCUUAAGACAUAUUUCAGAUAAAAAAAUACAAGAUUAAUUAGAAUAAAUAAAUAUAAAGAGGGGCAGGAAAGAUUAAAUAGACAAACAUAUAUAAGUACAAGGAAGGAUAAUAAUUGUAGUAAAUGUGUGUGUAUAUAUAUAUAUAUAAUAAAUUAGAUAAAUUUUAAAUGUAUUAACGAGUGUCUAGUAAACACCCGAAAAAAUCCAAAAUAUGACGAUUUUUUUCCGUAAGAAAACUCGAAUAUGAGACGUCUCAGUUGCACUUCGUCCCUAGAAACGCCCAACCAAUAUCCCUUCCCUUCUAAAGGCCGCUGCCGCUAGUGCUGAUGACCAGGGCAUGGUCGAUAUGAAAUCAGCCUUCUUCGAACUCACACUGAACAUUAUGAUUAGGAUGAUUGCUGGAAAACGGUAUUCUGGUGAUGGCUCAGGAAAAAUAGGGGGAGUCGCGAGCUUUCAAGAGAUGGUUAAAGAGAGUGUUAAAGUCAGCGGAUCAACAAAUGCUGCAGAUUUUGUUCCGCUACUGAGGUGGAUAGGGCAAAAUAAGCUUGAAAGUCAUCUGAAAACGUUGCAGAUGAAGAGGGAAAAGUUCCUACAAGAUUUGAUUGAAAAGCACGGAAGCAUCACCAGUCAUCGUGAGAACAAGACACUGAUUGAUGUUCUCUUAUCUCACCCAGAGACAGAACCAGAGUACCAUACGGAUCAAAUCAUCAGAGGCUUGGUUCAGGUGAGUCAAGUUUUAAGGAGAAUAGUAGAUCGGUCCCUCGAAAGUGCCAACAUUCCAUAAAAUCAAGUAUAUUAACAACCUAAGAGAAUCCACCUCAAGCGCUAGCUAGCUGUCAUACUUGAAGGGUAGGAUCAUAAGUUCAUAGCAUUAACUUCCCUGCUUUUUCAGCUUUUAACAAUCAGUCAAGAUAACUCAAAAGCAUGUAUCAUGUGUUAUCCGGUAUUGAUAGAGAUAAUAAAUCAAAUUUCGUCUAAUCUUAAUAGCUGAUAAUGUUAUCGGCGGGAAGUGACGCAACAUCUGGAACUAUGGAAUGGGCACUGUCAGUUCUGCGGAACAACCCAGAGGCUUUAAAGAAAGCACAAGAAGAAAUAGACUUUCAAAUAGGCCAAUCAAGGCUGAUAACUGACUCCGACCUUGGCCAGCUUCCUUACCUUCAAGCAAUAAUAAACGAAACCUUUCGUAUGUAUCCUGUGUCCCCUUUUAUCUCCCUGCAUGAAUCAUCCGAAGAAUGUACAGUUGAAGGCUUUGGUAUCCCUCGUGGGACAUUGCUCCUAGUGAACCUUUGGGCUAUUAAUUAUGAUCCUGAAAUAUGGGAAGAACCCACAAAAUUCAAACCUGAAAGGUUCAUGAACUUGGAAGAUCAGAGAUAGAGAUUCGAGUUUAUGCCAUUCGGGCUUGGCCGAAGAGGAUGUCCUGGAGAAAAUUUUGCUCGACGAGUUGUGGGGUUGGCAUUGGGUUCACUUAUUCAAUGCUUUGAGUGGGAAAGACCUGGGGAAGAAUUGGUGGACAUGAGUGAAGGAGCUGGGCAUACUAUGCCUAGAGCUCAACCGCUGCUGGCAAAGUAUAGGCCACCCCCUGAAAUGGUUAAGCUUCUUUGAGUUGUGAUCUGAGUGUUUGACAAUGUUUUCUUCCUACAACACCUAGACGACUGUGGAGAAACAAGUGAACAAGAAAACAGAGGAUGUCUCUCUGUACGUGUUUGUUUUAACUUUUAAUACUACUAUUUUAUCUCUUUCAACUUCGCUUUGUGUUGCUGCAAGAAAGUAUAAAAAAGCAAAGGGUUUACUCUAGUUUCUUGCUUUCUCCAAAGAUCCAGCAUUUUCAUGUGUGUUUCUAUUAUUUGUUAACCAAUGGUUCAGAAUUCAAUCGACGGAGAAGCAAAAUUUUGCCAAGCAUGAGAAAUUCCCAAAAUUCUGAUCAAAUUUAAAUUAUUUGUAAGAUGCUUUUGGUUGCAUGUUGUACUUUAGAGGGUCCUCACGUUCUGUAAUUUAGAGCUUUCUUGCAUUCUAUAACUGCGAGGUAAGGUAAGCAAAAUUUAAAUUGCCCCCAGGGCAUAUGGCGUAGCGGUUGAGGGGUCGGUCUUGAGUUGUUGACUUCUUCACUGAUUGGGGUUCGAUUUGUACCCGCUACGCUGCACAUCCUGACUCACCCGGGAAAACUGUAUGGAGCUAUCGGCUUCCCUCCAAUUUGGUAUGCCGGCUCGGGUCCAAAGGGUUCGGAUCGGGGCAUGUUCCGAAUUACCAAAAAAAAACUUAAAUUUUGAUCAAGUUUAUCUGCUUUGGAAAAACCCCAUUCAACAGGAGGUUGCCCACUGCAAAAAAGCACCCCUAUUGUACAAUUUUUCAAACAUCAUCAAAAUCUUGUUUUUGAGGUUUCAAAGCCGCUAAAUUGAACAUUAGCUCUGAAUCGGAUAAUUAUGUUCAAUGGUGAUGUUUUGCUGAUAAUUACUCUUUAGUUAGUCCAGUGCGCAUGUACGCAUAGUCCAUUCGAUGCCCGUGGGAAACAGGUGUUACAAGGUCCAUGCAUUUUUCAACCAAAGAUAAGUCAAAGAGCGAAUUGCGCGAAAUGUCACUAAACUAUUUCAAAGUGCCGGUUCUGAUCAUUAAACUUUUUUAUUAGCGCGAAAUGUCACUGAACUAGUAAAUCUAUACCGUUUUGGUCACUCCGUGUAUUUGUGCCGUUAGGAGAGACGGAAAUUAACUUUUUGAGGGGUAAUUUCGUCUACACAAUAGUUAAAAAAUUUAUGCCUUCAUUCUUCUUCACCCACAACCAUAGUGCUAUACCAUAUUUACAUUCCCAGCCUUCCCGUACGCAUCAAUCAUCACAGAAUAGGUAACCUCAUCCGGUUCACACCCAAAAGACGGCAUUUUUUCGAACCACUGGACGGCUUUCUCAGGUAAAGAAGACAGCCUGGCGCAGCUAAUUAUGGUGGAAAGGAGGAGUAUUGGACCAGCAAUCAAAGAAUCAAGAGAUGAAUUCGCUGAAGAAGGGUUCUUUUCGUCCUCUGGGGCUGCUGCUUGGCCUUGUACCUGUCCCAUAUCUCAUCGAGAUUGGAUGCUACGGAGAUGAAGUAAGAGGAAAAGGCAACAGCAGCAACCAAAAAAUUGGGAUGGACGAGAAUUUUGAAGUUGGAGUUGGGGUUGGGUGCUAUCUGCAACCCAUGUAAAGUUGUGGAGUGAUUUGCGAUUAAUCUGUUAAAUGUUAUUGUGCCAACUGCCAACAGAAUUGGAAUGGACAUCAAAGUCCAGUGUAGGCCGACGACGGACGGAGCUCUCUAUGCCCACCCACUUCUGCAACAAAACCACCGAACUUUACAUUUAAUUUCUCAUUCUUUUCACUCUUUCCGCAUCGUCAUUUUCGCCACUCCCAACCCCAGAGGUAUGUAAAGGUGACAUUAUCGGGCUUAACUCCUCUCUCAAUCAUAUCCGUAAACAAUUUCUCGGCUCUGUCCAAGUCUCUACAUUUUCUAAACACCUUGAAGGUAACAUUAUACAAAAUCACUUCUUUCUUCAACUUAAGCCUUUCCAGAAAGUAACUCAGCACCAAAGGCGCAGUUUCAGAGUUGGACAUGUUAUUGAGCACAACGGCAGCAUCUUGCUCUACAACUUUGCCACCCAAAUUAGCCAAAAUACUAAUAACGUCAGCUUCUACAGGGUCACACGAGUCCAAUUGUUGGGAAGCUUGGACUAAAGAAGCAUACCUGAAAUCGUAGGAAUUGCGCCUGAGCUUUGAUGCCCUGGAGCUGUUGGGGUUGACCCAGAUAUAGCUUUUUGAGGAAGAAGAGAUGGUUUUAGCAUCUGGGCGGUGAGGAAUUUGGGAAAUUGAGGGGGAUUGUUGUUGGGAAGCCGGUAUAGAGAGGGAAGGUUUUGGAUGGGGCUUGAGAGGAGGAAAAGCGAGGGCGUUAUGGGGGAUGAUUCUGAGUUGGUGGAGGUGAGUGGGAUAAAGAGAGUUACAGAAGAGGUGUGGGUGGCGAGAGAGAUGAGACGGCGAAUAGGCGGCGGCCACCAUUCUUCUCUCUACUCUUCUUCCUUCCUUCUCAGUCGUCACUCACUCAGCAGAGCAGUCAGCAGCAUUUGAAUUUUCUUCUUUUUUACAACUAUGAAAAAUUUCGCCUGCAUUUUUUGGUUGAAGUUUGAUGGUGCCGCCAUUCAGAUCAGCCAUCUCCUUUAUGUCUUUGCCGGAUACGGAACCAUUGAUUAUGUAAAAGCUUCAAGAAAAAGGCUGUGCUGACAAAUUUGCCCCUCAAAAAGUUGAUUUCCGUCUCUCCUAACGGCACAAAUACACGGAGUGACUAAAACGGUAUAGAUUUACUAGUUCAGUGACAUUUCGCGCUAAUAAAAAAGUUUAGUGACCAGAACCGGCACUUUGAAAUAGCUUAGUGACAUUUCGCGCAAUUCGCUCUAAGUCAAAAAAAUAUUUGUCUGCGGAGCGGAACUCCAUUUUCAUAUAAAAAAAAAUGCUGAAAGUCGCCAUAUCUGUUUCAGUACUACCACUCUACCAGUUCCAUCUGACAGCUCACGACCGCAAGGGGGGGAAAAAAGACAAAUAAAAACAAGGAUCUAUGUCAAUCGCAUGUUAUAUGAAAUCUUAACACAAGAUUUAAGAUUGCAAGAUAUCAGCUGAUACAAGGUGGCCUAAGCUGAAGGCGUCUUGCUCCCUAGAAGCUAUAUCACUGAAACAGCAGGGAAUUGUUUAGAAUAUUACAUUGGAUAAGCAUUUUUUUUUUUUUUUGGUAAAUAAAGAUGCAUUAAAAAUAAAUCAAGUCAACAGAGUGCAAAUUAAGGUACAGUCAUCCGUGGGGUGGAAACCCCCUUUAAGUCUUGCAAAAGUAAGGGAAGUACAAAAUUAGGACAUAAUUCAAAAAAAGUGAAGUCUUGAGUGUUGCUUCUUCCCCAGUUGGCAAGGAUGUCUGCACAUUUGUUUGCUUCUCUAUAAUUAUGGUGAAAACAUACUUUCUGGAAUGUAGUCAAUAGCUCCCUGCAAUCAAGAAUAAUAGGUGCAAGUUCAUGAGAAAUAAGAUUAUUUGACUUACACAAGGAGAAUAUAAAGGCAGAGUCCAUCUCCACUUCGAGAGAGUGGAUGUUGAGUUUUUUUGCAAGUUGUAAGCCUUCUCUAAGAGCCCAACAUUCAGCAGAAGGAACUGAACAGAAGCCUAAAUUUCUUGCAAAGCCCGCAAUCCAUAUCCCAUUUGAGUCACGAAUAAUGCCGCCAGCUCCUGCCUGGUUUGUUGGUCCAGAGACUGAACCAUCAGUGUUGAGCUUGGCGAAACCUAUAGCAGGGGGGAUCCAUCUGAUGAAUUUUUCUUGUCUAGGGGAUCUGGAGAAGUGAGAACCAGGCCCUAGUAGGCUUCUGUUCCAGAUGCACGCCUCCGAGCAAGGAUGUAAAUGAAUCUAACCAAACUGAACACCCUAGUAUUCAAGUUUAUUUGAUUAUUUUAACAAGUUUGUAAUUUUAUUCAAAUUUAAUUUAUUUAUUUAUCGAACCAAGUUUGUUUGAUUAUUUUACCGAAUUUGAACGAGCUAUUUAUUGAAGAGUGUGUUUGGAUAGGAGAUUAUUUGAAAUAUUAUUUAGAAUAAUUACUGUAGCACUUUUUGUAAUGUAAUGUAUGUAAAAUAAAAAGAUGAUUGAGAAGAUAAAAAGAUGUGUUGGAAAUUGUAUUUGUGAUGUAAGCAAAUAAUUUCUAGCCAUUAUUUGGCUAUCCAAACACACUGAAUAUAAAACGAUAUUCAAUCUUAAUUUGACUAGUUAGCAAAUCAAACUCGAAUGAACUCAAACCAAACUGAACUCGAUUCAAAUAUCAAGUAGAUUGAUUUAUCUUUCAACAUUUCGGAGUUGUUAUCCAUGUGUUUGAGAAUGUCAUCCUCCUGUAUUGUGUUUUGGUUUUUCAAGUCCCGAACGAUGUUUUUUUGUUGCAGCAAAGGAGGAAAGUUUUAGAGAGCUUAGGAUAUUACAAUAAAAUAGCAGUCAGGAGUAGCGAAGGAGGAAACAUAUGAUUCAGCCGAAAGGGGAACGAAAAGAAGAAGAAGAAGAAGAAGAAGAAGAGGAGAAGUUAUGGUUUUAAUUUAUUUGAAGAAUUGCCAUAUAUAUAUAUAUAUAUAUAUAUAUGUAUUUUAGGUAAAAGAAGAUUAUAUACUAGUAGUAGUUUGGAAAAAUAAGGAAUGCGAUCAUAAUAAGUAAAUGCAAAAAAGUUUGCCGUAAACUCCUUUGAGUGUUUGUAGUUGUCAAAGCUCUUUGUCAGGCUGCCCCCAGUGGUUCGAAAAUGUGCUGAGGACCUCUUUUGAACUAAUUUGUUACAUGGAUGGAAACCAUACGCACACCAAAAGAUUAGAAAUUUUCAUGCUAUCCCUUGUUUCUACAUUUAAUAAUAAUAAUAAAAAAAAGUGGAUGAGGCGUUGAUCUACAAAGUUGAGGUUUUAGAAUUUGGAGAUCUUGAAUUCAAUACUUAUCAAAGUGUGAGUCUCUAAACUUUGUGUUAGUAUUUAUCCCACCAUAUGUAUGUAGAUUAGUUGUAGUUCGAAAUAUUUGUAAUCUCUUAUAUUAGUCCUAUAGUUGUAGAUUAUACACGAUAUUAUCGAAGAAAAUAUUUAAAGAAGAAAAAAAAUGCAAUCUUAGUGCCCGAUAUGUAAAAUUGGUAACCACGAAACAAAUCUUGAUGAAUCCACGAAAUUCACCAUGAUCCCAAUAUAUGGGAAGAACCCACGAAAUUUAAGCCUGAAACGUUUGGGGGAUUCGUGUUUAUGGCAUUUGGGUAUGGUCAAAGAGCAUGUCUUGGUGAAAAUUUAGCUAGACAAGUUGUGAGGUUGGCAUUGGGCUCACUCAUUCAAUGCCUUAAUUGGGAAAGAAUUGGUGGAAAUGAGCGAAGGAGCUGGGUUUACUAUGCCAAGAGUUCAACCGCUGCUGGCAAAGUACAGGCCGCGCCCAGAAAUGGCUUCUUUCUGAGUUGUGAUCCUGGUGUUUUGGGAAUGUUCUUUGCCACCUGCACCACUGGGGAAUCGACUGUACGAGGAAAACAGAGGAUUUCCCACUGUAGUGCGUGCGUACCACGUUGGCUUACCACUACUUUUUAUAUUUUACCUUCACUUGGUCCAUAAUUUUUGCAGCUCAAGGAUGUGAAAAAGUCCGUGCCGUCCUGAUUCCAUUGUAAUGUAAGCUGGUCAAAGCUACAAGCCGGUUAUAUACGACGCUACUCCAAGAAAGGAGAAAAAUAUAAGCAAAGCAAGGAGGCCGUAAAGGAUGGAUAUCAGUAGCAGAUCAUUGACAGAUAAGAUACUAAUAUUCAAGAAUGAGAGGGCCGUAUCCCUUACGUCAAAGGAGUUUUGAAUCUUGAUUACUGAUACAUUCUUGAAAUAACAAUAAUGAAUUACUAGAUAAAAUAGGCAUACGGCAUAAGUAUCAUUCCAACACUUUGGAUUUAACCUCGAUCUCUAUGGAUGCUUCAUACUGCUACCUCCUGCUUUUUCCCUUCCUGUAUUUACUUACCAAUCAAAUCAUCAAAAAGUUCCGGAAUCUCCCACCAAGUCCACCUCUUUCCUUACCCAUAAUUGGCCAUCUUCAUCUCAUCCAGAAACCACUCCACCGAGGACUAGCUAAGAUCUCCGAUAAAUAUGGUCCAAUACAGUUUCUUCAUUUUGGUUCUCGGCCUGUCCUGCUUGUAUCUUCACCCUCAGCUGCAGAAGAAUGCUUCACCAAGAAUGACAUAAUCUUCGCUAAUCGGCCAAGAUUUCUCGCCGGAAAACACCUUGGCUACAACUAUACAACUCUGGGAUGGGUCUCAUAUGGCCAACACUGGCGCAACUUGAGAAGAAUAGCUACUGUGGAGAUCUUAUCUGCUACCCGAAUUCAAGCUUACACGAGCAUCCGUGUUAACGAGGUCCAUUCAUUGAUCAAGUACCUUCUAAUGGCCUCUAAAGCUAGUGACUCUAGCACGGUUGAGAUGAAAUCGGCCUUCUUUGGGCUGACACUUAACAUCAUGAUGAGGAUGAUUGCAGGAAAGCGAUACUACGGCGAUGAUGCCCAGAACAAGGAGGAAGCCGCAAGGUUCAAAGAGAUAGUUAAAGAGACUUUUCAACUCAGUGGGGCGACAAACAUAGCAGAUUAUAUUCCAUUAUUGAAGUUUUUUGGGCAACAGAAGCUUGAAAGCAAGCUGAAGACUUUGCAGGCGAAGAGGGAUCAAUUCUUGCAAGAUUUGAUUGAAGAACACAGAAGAACCGUGAGGAGUUCCGACAGUGAGAAGGGCAACAAAACAAUGAUAGACGUUCUCUUGUCCCUCCAACAGACCGAGUCCGAAUACUACACAGAUGAGAUCGUCAAAGGUAUGAUUGUGGUAAGUAACUAUUUAAUCCUCUCGAUAUCUUAAUCCAUCCGUCUGUUAAGCAUACAGAAAUUCUGAUCUUUGUCUGGGAUCAGUCCCAUGAAGGAUUGAGUCUGAAAAUCUAAGUCAAAGCUAGUUUGAUUGCACUAGUACCAUCUCCGUGUUGCCUUGCAUUUUUUAUUGAGCUGUAAUGCUAUGUUUCCUACACGUAACAAUUCUAGGGAUAAUUUCAGAAACCUCCCCUGAGAUUUCUAACAGUUUCACUGCCCUUCUCCGAGGUUUCUAAAAUAUCAGAAACCUCCCCUACUAGGUCAUUGGGGUCCAAUUGUCACAUCAAUCAUGGAAGAAUGACUUAAUUACCCAUACAACUUAAGAGGUAUUUCCCAAUUAUGUUCACAUGAUUAGUUAAACUGUUAUUAACUAGAUUUAACAGAAAUGAUGACAAUUUAUAAGUUUUUUUAAAAAAUUUCUAACAUGCCAUUACAAAAAGGGGGCCAUAUAUAGGCACCUUUCUAUGAUUGAUAAUUGAUGUAUGCGAGUAGAAGCAAUGAUUCAAACUUUAGUGUUUUUUGUGGAAUAAGAGAAAUAGAGCUUCUUUAGGUAUAUCUAAGGAUUUAGGAGAUUUGAAAAGGAGAUUUGCUCUUAAAUUUUUUUCAAAAUUUUGGUGAUUGUGAAAAUUUCAAGAUCAGCCUCUAAGAUUUUUCUGCUAUUAAAUUUUGGAAAUUUUUAUUAUUUGAUUGCAGUUGUUAAGGUAAUUCUUGAUGGUGAUGCUUAAUAGUGACCCUACAAGUGAAAAAGAAUAGUUUGGAUCAAACAAAAAAAGGAAAAUAUGAUUUUAUGUAGUUUGUAUUAUGUUCGGUAUGAUCUGCUCCAUUUGAUGAUUGGUAUUUAAUUAUAGUGUUUUUUCUUUUUUAUCCUAAUUAUUACUUUUAUUGUCAUCGAAAUUAGGUGCUGGUUUUGUAUGAAAUAUACGUAAAGAUUGUUGGUUGUAUGCUACUAAAUUGAAAAACCUUUUAAUUAUGACAAUUUUUUUCUUGUUUGUGAUUAUUCAACAAAUGUUUUUUUUUAAAUCGAAAUGUUGGUUGUAAUAGGAUUCACAUGCUUUGUUUCUCUUGUAGGAGAUUAUGCAAUUGAUGUGUUAUAAUAGAUGUAAUAGUAUGAUAUUACACAUGCAAUAUGUAGAUAAGAUUUUGAGUUGCUAAACUUGUUGUAGAGUUAGUAAAUUGAUAUUUUGUUUACGCUCUAUGAAUACGGUAACAAUUACACCGUCUCAAAUUUGAUAAAGUUAAAAUAGAUAUAUAUUGUUCGUAGGAAAUUAACUAUCUAAUGCAAAACUUGAGGGUAGUUAUGGAAUUUGACAGGUGCCGAACUUGUGCAAUAAUAAUUACUAAAAAGUCCUAAUUACCAUCACAAUUAAUUAUAGAACGAAUUCAAGUACUGGAGCAGGACCCUAGGUGAGCAAUGGGUUACUUGAUUCACCAUGUUCCCAAAGAGUUUGCUUGAUCCGAUAUACCAGAAUUGUCUAUAAAAAUACUAAGUUUGCAUACAAUGGCAAGUAGGGUCGAUUCCACAAGGAACGGGUAGGAAGUUGUUUCCUUCCAAGUCAAUAGAAUAAAAAAGAGGGACAAUUAAUGGGAUGAAACUAAAAAUAAAAUAAAUAAAAUUCAAGAGCUAACUCAACAACAAUUUAGUAAAAAUAGCAAUUAAUAAAAUUCUACCCAAAUGAUUAACUGCUCAGGCACGGUCCAAUUAAAUGAUCAUCGAUGCAAAGAUAUUUCAUUCAUCUGUCAUUAGGUUGGUUAUAGCUAUCAACAAGCUUUGACAACCAGUUCUUCCUUACUUUUUCGACAGUCAAGGUACGACCAUUGACUGUUUCUCUAACCAGAAAACAACUCUAGGUACGACCGUAAGAAUUUAAUUAUCCAAUUGGAUUAAAACUAGAAGAACCCAACCCUGAUCAAUAAGCACGCUAAGAGGGUUUAUUUAAAUCAGAUCUUACGUUUCUCCAACAUAAAGCCAAUUAUGGUGGUUGUUACUAGUUGUCAACUAAACGAAUAAUUACGGAUUCAAUUUAAUUAACGUGGCAGUAGGCUAUUAUGUUAAAUCAAAUACCCGACCGUUGAUAUCCAAUUAAUAAAAUACUCAUGAACAAUUAAUUCAGGAAACGUACGAAUAGCAAUAAGUUGGAAGAAAUAAUGAAAAUUCGAUUAGAUGUUACAGAUAUUAUGAACCGUGCUUUCGCGUCGACCUUCGGGUAGAGGAGAAAUCUAGCCGCUCCUUAUCAUAUCCAUCUCGCGUGAUUUAAUUGAAACCAUUCAAUUAAUUCCCGAAAAAUUGGGAAAGAUGAAACAACGAGGAAAACGAAUAAAAGGGCUUAAGUAUCUCUUGGUCUCUGUGUUUGUACUGGAGCAAGAAAGUAAAAGUAAAGCACUAGAGAAAGUCGGCUGCCAAAAGACAAGAGCCAAGCCGCCCGUAAGAAAUUGUCUAAUAGGAAGAGACAAAAGCUACAACUAUGAAGGUCGCGUGAUUCUGGCUUCUUAAUUGCUGCCGAAGAGAAAAAAAGGAAAAGAAAACGUCUGACACUAAAAAGCAAAAGCUAAUCUAAUUACAAAGACGUAAAUCUGGCUUUUUUCCUCUCUUUUGUAGCGGCGCCAGGAGAAAUCCACGAAAGGUCAGGAGCAAAGCUUUUCUUUUUGGGGUUUUAAUCCCAUGCCUCUCGUGGUUCACGUGGACCCAACCUCCUAAUUGCUCACUUUUUGCUGCCACCAAGCUCGCGGGUCCGGCUUUAGAUAUAUCUCCUCACUUUCUGGCGUGGCACGUCAUGAAACAAAGAGUCUUUUGGAAAUUUUUCUCGCGCGAUCACUUUUAACACCAAUCACCUACAAUUGAUACAAAUAUGAAAUAUGAGCAAAUUCUCAAUUCUUAGCAUCAUGAGUAGCCAAAAUUAGGACAGAAUAAUAGUGCAAAAUAUGCCCAAUAAUUGCUCUAUCAGAAUUAAAUUGUUUUCUCUCUUCUAAUACCAAUUUUAUAUUAUUUUUGUAUUUGAAUUGGGCUGAUUGUUACUAGCUAAUUAGCUUUAGGGGUGGUUUCCGAUAUUUUGAAAACCUCAGUGAGAUUGUCAAAAACCUCAGGGGAGGUUUCUGAAAUUAUCCCAUAAUUCUAUCUACGUCUAAUACUAUUUAUACUAAGAGGGUUGCUCACGAUAAAUGUUCUAACAUUAUCAUACACCUCCUCUUAUCCCUUCAUUUGUAUUUCUAUCUUAUUUACAGAAUCAAGAUAAUAGUAUAAAAAAUUCAAUCCCAUUGUACUAUUGAAUCAUGACGUGCAGGAAAAAAGGAAGAAGUAAAGAUAAAACGAAUGAGUAGCACAGUAUUCACCUUUAAUCCAUGCUUUAGACUAGCAGAAAAUAAUGCAAAUUUUGUCAACAGCAAAUGUUAUCAGCGGGAACCGACACAUCAUCCGGAACAAUGGAAUGGGCACUCUCCCUGCUGCUCAACAAUCCACAAGUUCUAAAGAAAGCCCAGCAAGAAAUUGACGCGUACGCUGGCCAAUCAAGGCUUAUCAAUGACUCGGACUUGGGUCAGCUGCCUUAUCUUCAUGCAAUUAUUAGUGAAACACUUCGCAUUUGCCCGGUGGCCCCUAUUCUGGUGCCUCAUGUGUCAUCCCAAGAGUGUUGUGUUGGAGGCUACAAUAUCCCCGGUGGCACGUUGCUGUUAGUGAACUUAUGGGCAAUGCAAAAUGAUCCCAAGGUUUGGGAAGAACCCACAAAAUUUAGGCCUGAGAGGUUUAUAAGUUUGGAAGGGCAAAGAGAUGGAUUUGUGUUCAUGCCAUUUGGGUUUGGCCGAAGGGGAUGUCCUGGCGAAAAUUUGGCCAUGAGCGUUGUGGGGUUGACAUUGGGGUUGCUUAUUCAAUGUUUUGAGUGGGAAAGAGUUGGGGAAGAGUUGGUGGAUAUGACUGAAGGGGCAGGGCUUACCAUGCCAAGGGCUAAAGAAUUGAUGGCCAAGUGUAAACCACGGCAAGAAAUGGUCAAACUUCUUUCUCAAUCGUGAUUGGGAUUUCAGAAGUUGGUACCUCUAAGAAAAAAACCCAUCGCAGUGAUGACAACAUUGUGAACAAAGUGUGCUUGUUUUGCCAUUAUUUUUGUGAUUCUAUACCUUCUUGUAUGUGGAAUAAAGGAUUUGAUUAAAAGUUUAAAAUACGGUUAGAGACACCUUAUUUUAAUUUAGUACGUUUUAUUGUAGGAAUAGAUGCAUAUGCAUACCUUUUUAUUUUGAUAGGUGAAAAUAAAACAACAAAAAAAAGACUUACAAAUAUGUUAGAUCUUCAAUGUUCAUGAAUAAAACUCUCUCUCUUUUUUUUUCACUUUUACUUCCUUUUGGAAAAGAAUUAAAACUCUUCUUUUUUUUUUUUACAGUUUUUUAUUUGUUCAUGAUGUGGGAGGUCUAUGUUCAUUUGAAAUCAAGAGCUCACCCCAACUUUUGUAGAAACUAGAGGGGAAGUUAGUGUAGUUUACCAACAAGAUACGUGUCUACUUACUUGAAUAACCAGUAAUAAGAUUUAAGGAAGAAAAACUUGGGCUACUCCAGUUAGCAAUGCCCAAGUAUCAAAAAAUGAAGAGCCCAAAUUCAUGUGAAAAUGUAUACAUGUUCUUGGUUAAUUUCACAAUAAACUUGUAAUCCUUUUUUUUGGCAAUUCAAAUUAAAUUCCAUUUUGCCUUUGGAUAUAACCAAGAGUUAUGUCCCUUUUAAUGAAUCUAGUAUAUUUUGGAGGGCUUUACUACUUCAAAUUUUUUUUUAAAAAUUUUAUCAGUAGUAAUCAUGAAAAAUAAAUCAUUUUCAACUAUGUAGUACUGAAAGAAACAUGCGACAGAAAAGAGUGGCAUCUCCAUAUAUUUUCUGAGCGUCAAAAUAAAAUUAUAAACUUUCUACCACUAACUCUUUUAUCUAAACCAUGCAAUUUUGCGUGCAUCAAAAUAGCGUAAUUAUUCAGUUUUCGUGUAAGGAAAUGAAAAUCUUAGGACUUGCUAGGAAAAACAUGGCGGUCUGGCUUCAGUGAAAUAUUUUUGCUAGAAAAUGUCGACUAACUUACCUACCUUUUAAUUCUUAUACUCUUUUCGUCCCAUUGAAAGUGUUAUACUUUUAUUUUAGAAUGUCUCAAAAUAUUUGUUCUGUUAAUAAAGUCAAAAUAUAUUUUAGUCUCUCUCUUCAACAUAGUUCAUCUCUCUAAUCAUAUACACGUUACCAUUCAAAUUCAAAUGUUGAAUUUGUAGGAAUAAAAUUGAAAAGAGAAGCACAAACAUCACAAUCAAACCACUAUUUUUAAAAAGUUUGAUUUUUGAAACAGAACCAAAUAAUUAGGACGGAAGGAGUAUAAACUAAAAUGAAAAAGGAAGUCUAGUGAUAAUUGAACCGUCAAAUAUCAUAAACCUUUUCAUAAAAUUGCUGGCUGAUCAGUAUAGCAAGUAGAUGAUGAUGCUUGUGUAGUUGCUAUCAUCCUUAGGUAUGAAAUUUUUCAUGAAGACCCCUUAGUAAUAAGUUUCUGAAUAGCUUCCCACAAAAGUUUCCGGGAGGUAAAUUAACAAUCUUUUGCAUUACUUUGGCCCCGGAGACAUGACAAUAAUAUCUUAGACGAAAGAACUUAGCCCCGACAAAUAUCAUGAACUUAUUGACAAUAGGUGGCUUAAUUUGUAAGAAAUAAAAAAUUAUUUAAAAAUAAGAAAAAAAAAUUAUUUAACGAAAUGCAAGUAACAUCUUGAACGAUUUUUCCUUAUUAACUCACAAAGUUAAGUUCCACUGUGGUACUUGCCAAUGGAACAAAGUUGACAGCAAAUCUUGUUGGUUGAAUGAGUCUCCUGACACAGCGUAUUAAGCAAUAAGCAUUCAUUGGUAUACCCAAACCUAUUACUCUGUAUAAGUGUACGUAUCAUAUUCACCCGUACCGUACGUCUCUUUCUACAUUUAGACACUCCCAUAUUUCUAUAUUAAUUUCACUUUUGCUAAAGGAUUACUGGGUAAAGUGUAAAGCACGGCAAGAAAUGGUUAAACUUCUUUCUCAAUUGUGAUUUGUGGGACUGUUUAACUGUCAAAAUUAAUGUGAAAACGUAUGAGAAAGUAGAAUCCUCGAAAUCCUUUAUUUUUUCAAAAUUUAGUUUUUUAAAUACUAAAAAUUUUUAAAAAUACUCUAAAAAGUAAUCUAAAUUUUUUUAAUGUUUAAAAAAUAUUCCAAAAUAUAUUUUAAAAACUCUACUACUCUUAAAUAUUUCAAAAUAUUUUCUAAAAAUAUUUCAAAAUAUACUCUAAAAACUCUGCUACAGUAAAGUUUUCAAAAAAUAUCUCAAAAAACAGCUAAUCCAAACGGAGUAAUUGAUAAACCCUAAGACAUUUAGAUGGUGAAGAAAAAGUAAAAUUAACACCACUCUUUUAACUGUUGGAAUACUUUCAAGGUACUAAAUUAUACCUUCUUAGUACCACUCGAAAGAAAGAAAAACAAGCCUUGGAAAGAAAUAGUAUCUAGAAUAAAUCUACUGCACAAUUUGGGAAUUAUUCAUCAUUCGAUCAAGUGAUGAAUAAAUCAUACGCAAGUUCAUGUAUUAGCAGAUUAAUUAUUGAAUCUAUUCAUAAAUCAGAGGAUUGCGACACAAGGAAACUUGCAGAAUUGGACAACUAUAUGGUCCCGAAGAAAAGAAAUUGACUUGCUUCAAGAUUUCCACAAACUUGGAGCGGGGGGCGAGUGGUGACGGACGACUAAGGAACUCAAGAAAGUUAAAAUAGCCAAUUACGCAAAGUUUUGGAUCCAUUAGUUGAUUGACUGACUUCUAUUGCUAGCCGGUCAAUGCCCCCUUUUAUAAAUCAACAAGAACUUUUCCAUGGAAAAUGUGUCUCUCAUUUUGGCCAAAAUUUCCGAAUCAAUACCUUCAGUCUCCGGUCAAAUGAAGUCGUAACUUGAUAAGCUUACAAGACUUUCGUUUUCCUUCUAGAAAAAAAAAAAGAAUAAAAUAAUUCCCUUGCCCUUCAACAACCUCAACAAUAAGGUUCACUAUGAGAGAAAUUUUUUUUCCAUCUAACACACUUACGUUACUCCUAAUUCAUUGCAUAAAUACGUACAAUCACAGUUAUUGAACUUAGUAUAUUUUAGUAAUUUUUUAAAUUAAUUAUCUUAUUUUUAAAAAAUUAAUACCUGAGACUCUUAUUAACGAGUGUCGACUGAAUACCUGAUAUCAAACCGAUCGAUGCUGUAGAUAGAGAAUGGUUGUUUGCAUGGAAACCAAAUCUUUUUUUUUUUUUUUUUAUUUGCUCCUUCCCCUCUUAUACAACCACCAUAUGUAGAAAGUUGAGUUCUUGGAAUCCUCCAGUGACACAGGUAUGCUGGUAAGCAAAGCACUUGAAUAUCUUCCAGAAGAAAGAUAUGUCGCGCAGCCUUAAUUGACGAAGUAAUCUCGUCAACUUUUUUUUUAAAAAUUUUGUACUGUAUAGAAAUUCCCCGGAGUUGGAGGGGCAGUUGCUUCUAAUCAAAAUAUGCUUCACACUUCACGCCACACGCACACGGUUAGGACCAGAAGUCUCAUAUGCCCUUUUCGGUGCAUUUCGUCUAAAUUCUUUUGUAGCGUGAGAAUUUAUUUAUUUAUUUAUUUUUUAAAAAUGGCUACCUAUUUUUAUUGCUUAAUUAACGAUGCUUUCGGUGCGUUUGAGUUUUCAAGAAAAUGAAUUUGAAGAGUAACAAACAUUAAGAUUAUUUGAAAUAUAUUAUUUUUUUUAAAAAUACUGUAUGAGAUAAAAAGUUGAUGCACUGACAGUAUAUACACUUUUAUCAUUAUUAGAUGCAUGACACAUAAUUUGAAUUUAAAUUUGAAACUCAAAUUUUGCAUAUGUGUCGUAUAUCCAACCGUAAUAGUGUAUACAUCGUUAGUAUACAUAAGAUUUACUCUUUGAAGUUUUAAUCUAUCCUUUGGUUUCCCAUUCUCGUGACAAAAGCACAGCUGCGCGAAUCAGUAAAAUUGGACGUAGUAAUUUGCUGUAAUGUGCAAAACCGAACUUACCUCCAUUUAGGGUUCUUGUCUAUAGAUUGACCAUGUGGUUCGGCAACACUUUUAGUGCAAAAAUUUUCAGCAUGCAACAGUCGUCCAUAGCUUAAGUGAGUUAGGCGCAGCACAUUGUUUGGCCCCGUUCCAUAUGACUUCAUUUCGUUGCCAACUUUUCUUGGAGGACUGGAAUCUCAUUAAAUAGAUCCAGCACGAUUGGUCCACGACAAUUAUUUGGUUCUGCUUUGCUGUCGUGAACUUGUGCAUUGAUUCUGUGCUUUAAUUUCUCUUGAUUUGUAGAAAAUUUGCUAGUUUUUAACUGCAAGAUUUUGUUACUCCGAAGAUUUUUAAUUUUUAUGCAGGAAAAAAAAACGCACUUCCAAACUCUGGGUACAAUAUUUGAAAAAAAAAAAGGGUAGAUGACAGGUAAGCUAAGUAGUGGUUUAGUGCCACUAUUGAAAUGUAAAAACCUCCAACCCUACACUUUUCCGACCCAUGCACCGCUCCCCGUGCCCGAACCCAAGAAGAUUUGUACAAGAAAACAGAAAAACUUUGGUGGGGUCUUGCUCGCACUAAUUUGUCACGAUUAAAUGUAUUCUUGUUUAAAAAAUUCAUGCAGAUGUGUAGUGCAUUCGUCUGAUCUGGUGGUGAUUUAAUCCUCUUCGAAUUAUUCUUGAACCUCUUCAGGUCCUAUUCCUCCUCCAUACUAUAGGAAGUUAUCGUAUCGAAAAAAAAAAAACAGAAAAAUCUCAACUCAUUAGCCUUAUUUAAUUUGAUUUGAAGCAUAAUUUUCUUGAAGAAGAGGGGCCGGGCCACACUGAUUGUAUUAGAGCAUCCACAAUGCUAUUACACUUUGUGGAGUGUAAUCCACAUGCCACGUCAGCAUUCCACUUUCUCCUCUUUUAUUACACUUUCACUCACAAUGGAUUACACUCCACAAGGUGUAAUAGCAUGGGUCCACAAUUAAUCAAAUAUUUAUUUUAAUAAUGCAUAACUCAUAUCCCAUAAAUAAAUAAAGUAAUUUUUAAAACUAAUUUUGUUAUUUUUAAAAAAUAAAGUACUAACUUUCGUUAAAUUUUGUACAUUUUGAAUUUUUUUAUUUUCUAAAAAUGAUAUUAUUAAUUUUUAAGUUUGAAUAAUAUAUCUUUUUCUAUGUUUCAAAAAUAAUAUAUUGUUAUUUUUUAAAAAAUAAUUAUGUAGGAAAUUAAACAAAUAUUUGAUACUUCAAAUGCGAAGAUAUCAUAAUAAUUCAUACUUAAUUAAUAAUUCGGAAUGUAAUUAGUUGAACUCCAUAACAUAAUAUUACAUAAGUUAAAUCAAAUAAAAUACAAAUAAUAACAAAAUGAAUACUAAUUUUCAUUGUCAUUGCCUUCGAAUCGUUCCCAAAUAUGCUCGACCAAGUCUGAUCGAAGUUGAUCGAAGUCUGAUCCCAAAUAUGCUUUGUGCUGGAAUUUUAUCGUUGUCAUAGGGCCCACAUUCAAUGGAUUACACGCAUCAUACAUGUGAUGCGUGUAAUCUCCAUGACACGGCUCCAGCGGUGUAAUGGCUCCCCGUUACUGAUUACACCCCCAUUGGAGCUGCCCUUAUGUAUAGUAUAGCUCGUAAUGGUUUUAAUCUACUCAUAACAAAUUCACUCUCCCAAACUCAAAAGUCAUCUUUGUAUAUAGAAUUUAGCCAACGAUUAUAAUUGCACAUUUUAAUAGGAAGUUUCAUAGGCUGGCUGUCAAUUGCAACCUUACAAGAAAACGAGAUGAAGACCACUCAGAGUCACAAGUCCAACAAUAAAUCCACUAACUCUCAUUAAUUAAACCCCAUCCAUCAUUCAAUCCCAAAUAAACCAGCAAGAAAUCCGCAACUAUCCAUGGAAGCCUUGUGUCUCUACCUUCCACUUUUCCUAGCAUUAUACAUCUUCACCAAGCACUUCCUCAACAAAAUCCGAAACCUUCCACCUAGUCCCAUCCUUAAUCUCCCCGUCCUCGGCCACCUCCUCCUCAUCAAGAAGCCUCUUCACCGAGGCCUAGCCAAGAUUUCCAACCGUCAUGGCCCGGUCCUCCUCCUGGAAUUCGGCUCACGCCCAGUCCUCCUUGUCUCCUCC